AUCGCUUCUCAGCCUUUUGGCUAAGAUCAAGUGUAGUAUCUAAAUAUACAAUCAUGUCAACUGCCAAUAGAGACAAUUCAGCUUCCUCUUUUCCUAAUUGAAUACCCCUUAUUUCUUUUUCUUACCUGAUUACUCUGGCUAGAACUUCCAAUACUAUAUUGAAUAUGAGUGGUGAGAGAGGGCUUCCUU
Small nuclear RNA from Sapajus apella (tufted capuchin), 189 nucleotides. RefSeq annotates it as U2 spliceosomal RNA. The record is from RefSeq and is a predicted model, not a curated record. Lineage: Eukaryota; Metazoa; Chordata; Mammalia; Primates; Cebidae. The transcript has a single exon.